This 1474-nucleotide long non-coding RNA is filed under the name Cicer arietinum (chickpea). RNAcentral describes it as "long non-coding RNA (CARI_LNC001011)". Lineage: Eukaryota; Viridiplantae; Streptophyta; Magnoliopsida; Fabales; Fabaceae. The record is from RNAcentral.
CACCACCACCACUAGUACCAGUCUACUCACCACCACCGUCACCGGUCUACUCACCACCACCAUCACCAAUCUACUCACCACCACCAGUUUACUCACCACCUCCACUAGUCUACUCACCACCACCAGUCUACUCACCACCUCCCCCAAAAUACUCAUCACCUCCACCACCAGUUCACACCUACCCUCAUCCACACCCAGUUUACCAUUCUCCACCACCCCCUGCUCACAAGUAUCCUCACCCUCACCCUGUUUACCACUCUCCACCACCACCAGUUCACAAGUACCCUCAUCCUCACCCUAUUUACCACUCUCCACCACCACCCGUUCACAAGUACCCUCAUCCUCACCCUAUUUACCACUCUCCACCACCACCCGUUCACAAGUACCCUCAUCCUCACCCUGUUUACCACUCUCCACCACCACCAGUUCACAAGUACCCUCAUCCUCACCCUGUUUACCACUCUCCACCACCACCAGUUCACAAGUACCCUCAUCCUCACCCUGUUUACCACUCUCCACCACCACCCGUUCACAAGUACCCUCAUCCUCACCCUAUUUACCACUCUCCACCACCACCGGUCCACAAGUACCCUCAUCCUCAUCCUAUUUACCAUUCUCCCCCACCACCAGUGCACACCUACCCCCCUCACAUUCCUCACCCAGUUUACCAUUCUCCUCCACCACCAUACAAGAAGCCUUAUAAGUACCACUCUCCUCCUCCAGUCCAUUCCCCACCUCCACCACACUAUUAUUAUAAAUCACCUCCUCCACCUUACCAUUACUAGAUAGCUGAUACUUGGCAUCACACUAUAUGGUAAGUUUUCAUGCAACAUGUAUAUUAUUAUAUAAGUACCAAACUUCCCUUCUCUAAUCAACUCACAUUCUCUCUUUAACUUAUUAUCAGUAUGAUUUUCGAGUAUAUACAAUCCUAAUUUAAAAUGAAGCUCCAUUGUGUGUAAUGAAACAUUAUUUUGCUGUUUAAUAUUUUAGUCUCCAUUUCUUGUAAAUUAAGUAAUCUUUUUCAUAGCAUUUGGUUAAGGGAUUAUAGUAUCAGACAUAAACUGAUAGAUCAAUAUAUAUUUGUUUUUUGUGUAGGAUCUAAACAGAAAGUGUGAAAGCAAAGAAAGCCGUGGACGUUGCAAAAAGAAGAUUGAGGGGAUUCUUCUCACAUAUAUUUCGUCAGUGUUUGAUUAAUAUUGUUAAGAGAGCUGCGUUUAUUUAUUUAAUUUUUGUUUUUUGUUGUAUUAGCACAGCUAUAAGGCACUGCCCCAGCAUCCACGUGUCUGCAGUGGCGUGCAUGCGUUGUAAUUUUCAAAGUUUGGUUUAUCAAGUUGACUGACAAACCAAAUAAAUAUAUUCCCCUGUUCUAGUAAUCUGUCCCUUGCACCUAUGGCUCCUUUUCUAUUCUUUUAGUGAUAAUAAUACUAAUACUAAUAAUAAUAAUAAUAAUAAUAAUAAUAAUAAUAAUAAUAAU